UUUCCAUACGCUUCAAGCAAA
Molecule: non-coding RNA, 21 nt
Filed under: Caenorhabditis elegans
Lineage: Eukaryota; Metazoa; Nematoda; Chromadorea; Rhabditida; Rhabditidae
Source: RNAcentral